UUAUUUCCGGAAUCGAAUUUUUGUUUAAUUUUCCAUUAUCGAACAUGCAAAAUUGGCAAAUGUGACAGCAAUAUUUGGAACGGUUCGUAUAAAGUAUAUUAACACUGUGCCAUAUGUUUAAACAGGAGCGGUGUUUUUAGACAACGUACAAAAACGCAGCGAGCAUAUGCUAAUGUGGAUGUAUGUGCCUGCUCUCUAGGAGCGAUGGAGAGGCUAAUAUCCAAAGUGACAGAGAAACAUGUUCUCUUCACGGCUUCUUUCGCUAUACGUCUUGCUUUGGUCGCUUAUGGAGAUUUCCACGACAGAACGAUGGUAGUCAAGUACACUGACAUCGACUAUCAUGUGUUCACGGAUGCUGCGAGGUUCACUACGAAGGGCGAGUCCCCGUACAACAGGUCAACCUACCGAUACACACCUCUACUGGCAUGGCUGCUCAUUCCGAACAUUUAUAUCCACGUGGUGUUUGGCAAGCUCCUUUUCAUCCUAUGUGAUGUGCUGUCCGGACUGCUGAUCUACAGAAUCCUAUGCCUACGGGGUCUUGGCUCUGAGACGGCACGGCGGGUUUGUUCGCUGUGGCUCCUCAACCCCCUGCCGAUGGGAGUAUCCAGCCGUGGGAAUGCUGAGUCCAUCUUGGCCGCUCUGGUGCUGGGAACACUACUUUGUAUAGAGGGCCGAACCAUGACGUGGGCAGCGCUGCUCUACGGCCUGUCCGUUCAUAUGAAGAUCUACCCCAUCACCUAUGCUCUGCCCAUUCUUCUGACUCUUCGCACACCACGGAUCAGAAGAGAGGAAGAGCAAAAAAUGUGGAGGAACAUCGUUGGCUUCUUGGGAAGUUUCUUCAACAGGGAGUUGUUCCAUUUCGCAAGUGUGGCCGGAGGUCUUUUUUGUGCACUCACAGCACUUUUCUAUCACAUGUAUGGUUGGACAUUCCUUCAUGAGACUUACUUGUAUCAUCUAACUCGAAGAGACAUUCGACAUAACUUCUCUCCAUACUUCUACAUGCUCUACCUUACUGCAGACAGCAGCUGGAGCCAGUGGCUUGGGCUGGUGGCGUUCCUUCCACAGUUGAUCCUCCUGCUGGUCACGUCGUGGGCUUUUCACCGUGACCUGGCCUUUUGCUGUUUCCUACACACCGCCAUCUUUGUCACUUUCAACAAAGUCUGCACAUCACAGUACUUCCUGUGGUACCUGAGUUUACUUCCUCUGGUCAUCCCUCAUUUGAGUCUUUCACUGACACAAGGAGUGGGACUGCUGCUCCUCUGGUUUGCUGGACAGGCUGUGUGGUUGGUCCCGGCUUACUACCUGGAGUUUGAGGGCUACAACUCCUUUCUGUUCAUCUGGCUUGCCGGACUGCUCUUUUUGAUUGUUAACUGCUUCAUCUUGAUACAGCUCAUCGUGCAUUACGAACCAAAACUGACAGCAAAGAGAUCCAAGUUUGAUUAACCCCGGCAUCUGCAGGAAUGUGCAAGAACUUGUCACUGUGAUUGGAGCUUCAGUAUGAAGACGGAUACCAUUUCUUGUUUGGAUUUUUUAUUUAAGUGUUUUUUAACUGCUUUUUUUUCCUCAUCUAAAUUAUGUUUUUUUCUGUAAAUAUUAGAAAUUGUAUCCGCACCCCGGAAUGUUCGGCAGGCAUUCACAGGCCAGGGCACAUAUAGACAACCAUUCACAUUCUCAACUUUUAUUAUAAUUAACAAUGAUUGUAAUGUACAGUACUCUUGACUCAUUUAAGUUGGGCCUUUCCAGUAAACUCCUUUAAUUGUAUUGCAAUGUUCUAUUGAAAGGGUUCCACCAAACAUUGAACUGUCUGAGAACUUAACAUUCAGUUGGACAUAUCCCAUGGUAAUAUUAUUUUAGCGUCAUUAACGCUAAUAAACUUAAUGAAGAACAUUUUGUUCUGUCAUGGGAAAACUGCAGUGUACAUUUUGUGUGUGUUUUUAUUUAAUAUCAUAAAUAUAUACCCCAGUAACCAUGUCUAUGUUGCAACCGUGAAACUUGAAAAUGACAGAAAUGUUAACAUUUGAGUUCUCUGCACUUUCCGGCCCUGACCAGUAGGCGGCAGCUUGUGUUUGCAGAAUGGGCGUCUGUACCGACGUAACCUCUGAUCAAACCUUCAGGUGGCACUCGACCUCAACUGGCCACUGGCCUCCAGGGCAUCUCCAUAAAUCCAUCCAUCCAUCCAUCCAUCCAGCCGUUGUCCGUUCCCAUCACCUUCAUUCAUUCAUUCAUCUUCCGUUCCGCUCAUCCUCACUAGGGUCGCGGGCGUGCUGGAGCCAAUCGUGGCAAUCUUCCGGUACACCCUGAACUGGUCGCCAGCCAAUCGCAGGGCGUUCCCAUCACAUAUUCUUAUUAAAUACUGGCUAAAAUGAGUAAGCUGUAACAUCUGAAUACUCAAGAGUUGAAUAUAAUGUAAUGGUUAAAUAUAUUUUUUAAAAAUGCAGUGGCGUUCAAAGCAUAAAUAGUAAGUUAAUUAGUUUUUAAAACAGUUUACUUUCAACAAAGGUAUAUAGCUGAACUGAGAAUAUUCACAGGCAAUCUAAUGCAAUGCUCCUCAACCUUUUUGGGGUCCAGGAACUCCUGCAUAUUUUUGAUCGACCCUAACGACCUUUUCACGGACCCCUUGCAAUUACAUCGUGAACCAGUCGGGGUCCAAGGACCCCUGGUUGAGAAACACUGAUCUAAUGGACUGUUGAAACGAAUCUGCUGAUCACUUUAACAAUUGAUCAACGCUAAAAUAAUAAUACAAACAACAAUAAGAAAGAUAAAAUCAUUAUAAUUUAUUUGCAAACAUGAUUCUAUUUUUUUACCAUGGACAUGCAUUUCCUGGGCAGUUCAUGUGGUACACCUCAGAUUGGUUGGAACACAUUCUUAACUUUUGAUUGACACUGUUAAAAAUGUAUUUUAGUUUUAUUGUAGCCUGUCCAAUAUUUGUACUCUCUGGUAUCUACCUGACGAAGCCAAAAUAUUAGAAACACUUCCAAGUAUGACGCAGUGCAGUUCAACGCCAUCCGUGUUGAGUACCACAGGCAUUACUUUGCUAAUUAUAGUAAUUAUUGUGGCAGAAAUGUUGUAUGCGCCUUCAUGUUUUGGACCGUGAGUGUAUGGCUCAUUUCAGAAUUGGAGGACAUUUUCUGUAACCUCUGCCCUGCACUAAAUACAGAACUGUGCAAUUUUUGUGUCAAUUAUUGUUUUCUUGAUGUAAGAUGUAACUUCAGCUGUAGUAAAAGUGACUUCUAAAAAUGAUUUAAAACACCAGAUAGCUCUUGAGCACACCCUAAAAUGGUGUUUUUUUCCUCUCUUUUAUGUGUCUUCCCAGUAAUUUUUAAAACUGUUUUUUUUGUAUCAGACAUAUUUUAAAUAGUAGGAUUUAUUAUGUCACACAUCUCUGUUGCUAAAACCUUUUCAGCCAUCUAGAGGAAGAGAAAAAAGUGAGCUACACGACACAGCAGGAAUCACAUCAUCAAGUAAAUUGCUCUGACCAUGAGUAGACCCAAGGUAAGGCUUCUGCUUUUCAUAUUUUGUCAUUUUCAGUAAUAGACUGUGUCACUCAAACCAACACGUUGGUGUCAUCUGCAAAGAUCUUACCACAAAGAAAUUGCAGUAUUGAAUCUUAAUCAUUGAUAUAGAUAAGAAAAGCUAAGUACAGACCCCUGAGGCACACCAAAUGUGACAUCGAUAAAUUCUGAAUUUGUAUUUCCAAUUCUCACAAACAGUUUCCGCCCAUAACAAGUAUCCCUGAACCUAUUCAAGCAGUUUACCAGCUAUACCAUACAAUGCAAGCGUAACGUGUACAAGUGUACAGCUGAUGGUUGAGUUGGACGAAUCAGUCAUGGUUUAUUAUCUGUUUUCCUUGAAAACAUAAAAAAAAAAAAAAAAAUACAACAAAAAACGAUUCAACAUUUUCAAAAAUGUUGGUGCCUUAUUGUUUCUCCAAUUCUGGAUUGAGCCAUAUCUUUAGGGAAAAAAAUAGUCAACUAAAACCAAUGUAUAUCUACAGUAUU
Molecule: RNA transcript, 3998 nt
Organism: Phycodurus eques (leafy seadragon)
Lineage: Eukaryota; Metazoa; Chordata; Actinopteri; Syngnathiformes; Syngnathidae
Gene: pigm
Gene name: phosphatidylinositol glycan anchor biosynthesis, class M
Exons: 9
Source: RefSeq, a predicted model, not a curated record